CCCAUUAGAGUCCUUCAAUGUUCAACCUUGAUUUAUAAGAAAUUAUUCAUCAGUAUUAGAGACCUUGUGUCAAAAUAAAUUUGUUUGGUUCAUACAUGGGACAAGGCCACACUUAACGGUUUGUUCAACUAAGUAGGGUCCAUCAAGAGAUUCCAGUGUAUUGUGUUGUUUUUUACAUCACAUAUACAAGGGAUGAUAACAAAAAGGCAUGUGUUUCAUUGUCAAUGUGUGCUGUCUAUUAAUUUGCCUAUAUUAAUAUAGUAACUAGAUUUAUCAUGUCAAUUGUUUUUGUUCAUUGAAUCUAAAGAGUCAGUUAUGAAUUAUGCUUAAAGAAAAUUGUUAUUACUUUCUCUUGAUUUUAAAAAUUAACGGGUAGUCAAAGGUUUAAUUGUUUGAUAUUUGAUGUAUGCAAAAAUAUGAUAUUUUAAAGCAUUUAGUCGCCAAUUAAUCGGUAUG
This 456-nucleotide long non-coding RNA is filed under the name Cicer arietinum (chickpea). RNAcentral describes it as "long non-coding RNA (CARI_LNC001050)". Lineage: Eukaryota; Viridiplantae; Streptophyta; Magnoliopsida; Fabales; Fabaceae. The record is from RNAcentral.